GAUGAACGCUGGCGGCGUGCCUAAUACAUGCAAGUCGAACGCAUAGCGAAAGGUGCUUGCACCUUUCAAGUGAGUGGCGAACGGGUGAGUAACACGUGGACAACCUGCCUCAAGGCUGGGGAUAACAUUUGGAAACAGAUGCUAAUACCGAAUAAAACUUAGUGUCGCAUGACACAAAGUUAAAAGGCGCUUCGGCGUCACCUAGAGAUGGAUCCGCGGUGCAUUAGUUAGUUGGUGGGGUAAAGGCCUACCAAGACAAUGAUGCAUAGCCGAGUUGAGAGACUGAUCGGCCACAUUGGGACUGAGACACGGCCCAAACUCCUACGGGAGGCUGCAGUAGGGAAUCUUCCACAAUGGGCGAAAGCCUGAUGGAGCAACGCCGCGUGUGUGAUGAAGGCUUUCGGGUCGUAAAGCACUGUUGUAUGGGAAGAACAGCUAGAAUAGGAAAUGAUUUUAGUUUGACGGUACCAUACCAGAAAGGGACGGCUAAAUACGU
This 496-nucleotide ribosomal RNA is filed under the name uncultured bacterium. Its description in RNAcentral is "partial 16S ribosomal RNA". It matches the Rfam family "Bacterial small subunit ribosomal RNA", at positions 28 to 506 of the family's 1533-position model. The record is from RNAcentral.